AAACCUAAGUACUGAAUCAUUAUUAGAAGAUAUAAAGACAAAGACUCAUACGGACUUCGACUACACUGACAAAGCUUUGAGAAGCAAGAAAAAGCUUGGUUAGUGUUUUGGAUUCUAAUAUGACUUGAUGCCAUGUGUAUGACUCAAUAUAAAAACUAGAACCGCAACAGAUCUUAAAAGCAUAAGUAUUGUAUCAUUGUUAGAAGAUACAAUGACGAAGACUCAUAUGGACUUCGGCUACACCAUCAAAGCUUUGAGAAGCAAGAAGCAGCUUGGUUAGUGGUUCGGAGUCGAAUAUAACUUGAUGUCAUGUGUAUGAGUGAGUAUAAAAACUAGAACCGCAACGGAUCUUAAAAGCCUAAAUAUUGUAUCCUUGUUAGAAGAUACAUAGACAAAGACUCAUACGGAAUUUGGCUAAACCAUCAAAGCUUUUAGAAGCAAGAAGAAGCUUGGUUAGUGUUUUGGAGUGAAAUAUGACUAGAUGUCAUGUGUAUGGUG
Molecule: small RNA, 498 nt
Filed under: Arabidopsis thaliana (thale cress)
Lineage: Eukaryota; Viridiplantae; Streptophyta; Magnoliopsida; Brassicales; Brassicaceae
Description: ATSL270250
Source: RNAcentral